Molecule: non-coding RNA, 69 nt
Organism: Rattus norvegicus (Norway rat)
Lineage: Eukaryota; Metazoa; Chordata; Mammalia; Rodentia; Muridae
Source: Rfam
GGGGAUUUAGCUUAGUGGUAGAGCACUUGCCUAGCAAGCACAAGGCCCUGGGUUCGGUCCCCAGCUCCG